RNAcentral lists this long non-coding RNA (2037 nucleotides) under Coffea arabica (coffee). Its description in RNAcentral is "long non-coding RNA (CARA_LNC003322)". The record is from RNAcentral. Lineage: Eukaryota; Viridiplantae; Streptophyta; Magnoliopsida; Gentianales; Rubiaceae.
AUCACCAACCCCUACCCCCUCGACUCUCUCUCUUUCUUUUCCUCUCAAAAAAUUUCACAAAAGAAAAACAACUCAAACCCCACAAAACACAAACCUCUCCCUUGGCUCCCUCUCUUUUCUCUCUCAAUUCACAAUACAUCCACACACACAAAUCAAAACAAAUGAAGGAAACAAUGGACAGUUGAGGCUUGGGAAUUUCAUAAAAAAUGCUAACCAAGGAACUACCACUUACAUUGAAGGUAUUUUCCAGUUUUGUUAAUCAUAUUAAAUCCAUGUUAGUUGUCUAGUUUCUCUUACUUUUGCUAUUUUUUGUUGUUGUUAUUAUGUUGUUGAAAAUUUGGGAUAGGUCAUAAAGAAGAUUAAGGAAAGAAAAAUAGUUUUUGUGUAUGCAUGUUAAGUAUUUGUAAAAAUGUCAAAAUGAAAAAUGGAAUUAAAUUGGGUGGUUUUGUUAAUUUAAGGUCAUAGUUGUAUUGUAGAAAUCACAAGGAGUGUUUCGGUAUAAAUUUUAUGAUUUUUGGUGAAGAUUUGGGUGAUUUUUAAAAAAAUAACCGACUGUAAAUUACACUUUUGAGCACCUUUCAUGUGUUUUUGUAAAAAACUAAGGUAGGAAAUGGAUUCUACAUGAAAAAUCAAAUAGGGAGGUAUAUUUUGGUGAAAUUUUACGACCGAAAAGGUUGCUGCCGACGAUCAUGGUUUCAGUCUUGCCAGAGAAGAAGAAGAGAUAAAAAAAAAAAAAGAGGAAGAAAGAAAAAGGAAAGAAAAAAAUGAGAGUGGGUUGAGAUUUUUUUGAUUUGGGCUUGUGUCUUUGUUUCGUUUUGAGGCUUGUGACUGGGCUUUCUUUUUUAAACCCAAUAUUUUCACUCUAUUAAAUUUUGCAAGUUUUCUUUGGAUUUGCUGAUUAUUUUUAUUAAUCAGCCUGCGUUUUUCUUUUGGGCUAUAGAGUGGUCCGGUCCAAGUGAUAAAAGAAUAAGGGUCCAACCUGGUUUUUUCACAUUUUUUCAAAAUAAAAAAUUCAAUUUGUAAUUCGGUCCCUGAUCUUUUGAGUAAUUUUAUUGUGGUUCAAAAAUUUUAAAUUUUUUUCAUUUUGAUCUUUAAUUUAAUUUCAUUUUGACCUCUAAACUUUAUUUUUAUUUAAUUUUUGACCCCUAAUUUUAUAAAACUUUAUUUUUACCUCAAAAACUUUUAAAUUUUUAUAAUUUAGUCCCUAAUAGUUUUUAUUCAUCACUUAUAAUUGCUCCCUUCCUUUAGUUGUUAAUUAUACUUCUCUUGCAUGUAUUUAAAUUAUACAUUUUAACUGUUUUGAGUUUAUUUACAUAUUUUAUCCAUUUGAAUUGACCAUUUUUUCAAAAACUAGCUUUUCAAAUACAAUGCUAUAGUAAUACACAAUAAGUCAACAAACUUCUCAUCCAUUCAAUAUAUCAAUUAGUUCAAAAAAUUUUAUAGUAAAAAUUUUUCAUAUACACUACUACAGUAAAAUUUUUCAAAAACAUCUCAAAAAAUAACUAAUUCAAACGGAGCAAAUGUGAAUCUUGUACAUUUGUUUUAAUAUAUUUUCAAUUAAAUUGGUACCGUUAUUCUUUUGUUGAUUUUGAAUAUAAAUAGGGCAACUCUCCCUGAUUUAGCUCCUACUUCAAGCAAGCUACUCUCUAUUAUUUUUAAACUGUUUUAUGUACUCUUAUGUGUUUUUUUAUGUGUGAUUGUAUGUUUUAUGUGCUUUUUUUUUCUUUUAUUUACUCAUUUUAUUUAUUUUUAGCUUUCAUUUAUUUUAUUUUAUUUUGAUGUUUACUAGGAAAGUAUUUAAAUACCAAAUUGUAAUAGAUAGGUUGUACCCUCUUACCUAAAAAAAUGUAUUUAGAUAGGCGAUGUAAGAGAUAGAUCUUAUUUUUGUCAAGAAAUGUGAUUAGUUAGAUAAGUGUAAUAGAUAAGUUUUUUAUUUCCAAAAUUUUUCUUUUAAAUUGUAACUAGGGUUCCCAAUUGUAAUAGUUAGGAUUUAUUUGCUUGCAUACUUGUGUGCUUGUGUGUUUAUAUGUUUAUCCG